AACGAACGCUGGCGGCAUGCCUAACACAUGCAAGUCGAACGAGACCUUCGGGUCUAGUGGCGCACGGGUGCGUAACGCGUGGGAACCUGCCCUUAGGUUCGGAAUAACUCCCCGAAAGGGGUGCUAAUACCGGAUAAUGUCUUCGGACCAAAGAUUUAUCGCCUUUGGAUGGGCCCGCGUUGGAUUAGCUAGUUGGUAGGGUAAAAGCCUACCAAGGCGACGAUCCAUAGCUGGUCUGAGAGGAUGAUCAGCCACACUGACUGAGACACGGCCCAGACUCCUACGGGAAGCAGCAGUGGGGAAUAUUGGACAAUGGGCGAAAGCCUGAUCCAGCAAUGCCGCGUGAGUGAUGAAGGCCUUAGGGUUGUAAAGCUCUUUUACCCGGGAUGAUAAUGACAGUACCGGGAGAAUAAGCGCCGGCUAACUCCGUG
This 431-nucleotide ribosomal RNA is filed under the name uncultured bacterium. RNAcentral's name for it is "partial 16S ribosomal RNA". It matches the Rfam family "Bacterial small subunit ribosomal RNA", at positions 29 to 507 of the family's 1533-position model. The record is from RNAcentral.